AGCGGCGGACGGGUGAGUAACACGUGGGUAACCUGCCCAAGAGACUGGGAUAACACCUGGAAACAGAUGCUAAUACCGGAUAACAACACUAGACGCAUGUCUAGAGUUUGAAAGAUGGUUCUGCUAUCACUCUUGGAUGGACCUGCGGUGCAUUAGCUAGUUGGUAAGGUAACGGCUUACCAAGGCAAUGAUGCAUAGCCGAGUUGAGAGACUGAUCGGCCACAUUGGGACUGAGACACGGCCCAAACUCCUACGGGAGGCAGCAGUAGGGAAUCUUCCACAAUGGACGAAAGUCUGAUGGAGCAACGCCGCGUGAGUGAAGAAGGGUUUCGGCUCGUAAAGCUCUGUUGGUAGUGAAGAAAGAUAGAGGUAGUAACUGGCCUUUAUUUGACGGUAACUACUUAGAAAGUCACGGCUAACUACGUGCCAGCAGCCGCGGUAAUACGUAGGUGGCAAGCGUUGUCCGGAUUUAUUGGGCGUAAAGCGAGUGCAGGCGGUUCAAUAAGUCUGAUGUGAAAGCCUUCGGCUCAACCGGAGAAUUGCAUCAGAAACUGUUGAACUUGAGUGCAGAAGAGGAGAGUGGAACUCCAUGUGUAGCGGUGGAAUGCGUUGAUAUAUGGAAGAACACCAGUGGCGAAAGGCGGCUCUCUGGUCUGCAACUGACGCUGAGGCUCGAAAGCAUGGGUAGCGAACAGGAUUAGAUACCCUGGUAGUCCAUGCCGUAAACGAUGAGUGCUAAGUGU
RNAcentral lists this ribosomal RNA (743 nucleotides) under uncultured bacterium. RNAcentral's name for it is "bacterial SSU rRNA". It matches the Rfam family "Bacterial small subunit ribosomal RNA", at positions 94 to 823 of the family's 1533-position model. The record is from RNAcentral.